RNAcentral lists this ribosomal RNA (437 nucleotides) under uncultured bacterium. RNAcentral describes it as "partial 16S ribosomal RNA". It matches the Rfam family "Bacterial small subunit ribosomal RNA", at positions 29 to 507 of the family's 1533-position model. The record is from RNAcentral.
AGCGAACGCUGGCGGCAGGCUUAACACAUGCAAGUCGAGCGGGCAUCCUUGUGGUGUCAGCGGCAGACGGGUGAGUAACGCGUGGGAACGUGCCCUGCGGUUCGUAAUAACUCAGGGAAACUUGAGCUAAGACCGGAUACGUGCGAGAGCAGAAAGUUUUAUCUGCCGAAGGAUCGUCGCGCGUGUGAUUAGAUAGUUGGUGAGGUUACGGCUCACCAAGGCGACGAUCAGUAGCUGGUCUGAGAGGCUGAGCAGCCACACUGGGACUGAGACACGGCCCAGACUCUUACGGGAGGCAGGAGUGGGGAAUAUUGGAACAUGGCGGCAACCCUGAUCCAGCCAUGCCGCGUGAGUGAUGACGGCCUUAGGGUUGUAAAGCUCUUUUCUCCGGGACGAUAAUGACGGUACCGGAGGAAUAAGCCCCGGCUAACUUCGUG